UUGAACUUCGGUUUGGGUGGCGGACGGGUGAGUAACGCGUAAAGAACUUGCCUCACAGUCUGGGACAACAUCUGGAAACGGAUGCUAAAACUGGAUAUUAUGAACUAUGCGCAUGCAUGGAUUAUGAAAGCUAUAUGCGCUGUGAGAGAGCUUUGCGUCCCAUUAGCUAGUUGGAGAGGUAACGGCUCACCAAGGCGAUGAUGGGUAGCCGGCCUGAAAGGGUGAACGGCCACAAGGGGACUGAGACACGGCCCUUACUCCUACGGGAGGCAGCAGUGGGGAAUAUUGGACAAUGGACCAAGAGUCUGAUCCAGCAAUUCUGUGUGCACCAUGA
RNAcentral lists this ribosomal RNA (334 nucleotides) under uncultured bacterium. Its description in RNAcentral is "bacterial SSU rRNA". It matches the Rfam family "Bacterial small subunit ribosomal RNA", at positions 79 to 411 of the family's 1533-position model. The record is from RNAcentral.